GGACCCGCGGGCCGGGACCCCCCCCAGGCCAUGGCGGGGAGCGGCGGGGCCGGGGCGGCCCCUCGGGAGCACCGCCUGCAGCCCGGGGACACCCUGCAGGGGCUGGCGCUGCGCUACGGGGUCACGAUGGAGCAGAUCCAACGUGCCAACCGCCUCUACACCUCGGACACCAUUUUCCUGAAGCCCACCCUGCUCAUCCCGGCGGGAUCCCAGUCCCAGCCCCUCCAGGGGGACGAGCCCCAGGACAUCAUUCCCAACCCCCCGGAGCCCCCGGUCCCGUCCCGGCACGACCUCUCGGCCAUGGAAUUCCUGCGGCACCUGGACACCGAGAUCGGCCGCUCCAAGGCGGCCGCGGCGCAGCAGAUCCGGCACCGACACUCCGGCCCUGGUGAUUCCAGAGCAUCCCAGAGGAUUCCAGAGGGUCCCUCAUCCCCCCGGGAAGGGCCCCGGCUGGGCCCACGACCCCUCACCAGGACCCCCCGGGCGGCCGCGCUCCGGGACACAGAGGACGAGAUCUUCACCUUGUGACCCUGGGAAUGCUGGGAAUGGGACAGAUCUGCACCUGGUGACACUGGGAAUGGGACAGCAGGGACACUGGGAUGGGACACUGGGGACACCUGGGGUGUCCCAUUCCUGCCAGGAGAGGCUGGAAUUGGUCCUUGAGGGGAAUCCAGAUGUCCUGGGACAGCACGGACAGAGAACUGGGAACACUUCCCAUCCCAUUCCCACAUCCCUCCCACCAGCUCCAGGAGCUCCAGGAUCCCCUCUUCCCAAAUCCCAGCGCCGGGAGAGGCUGGAAUUGGGCACUUUCCAAGUCCUCGAGGAGAAUCCAAAGGUUCUGGGACGGCAGGAGCCGGGUGGACACUUCCCACCCCAUUCCCACACCCCUCCCACCAGCUCCAGGAUCCCCUUUUCCCCAAAUCCCAGGGGGGGGGGCAGGAAUUUGGGCCCCACUUUGGCCUUUUCUUGGAAAAUAAAUUAAUAAAUUAA
This is an RNA transcript of Chiroxiphia lanceolata (lance-tailed manakin), 990 nucleotides long. It is a transcript of the gene named LysM domain containing 1, with no coding region annotated. NCBI's taxonomy places the organism in Eukaryota, Metazoa, Chordata, Aves, Passeriformes, Pipridae. The transcript has 4 exons. The record is from RefSeq and is a predicted model, not a curated record.